GUGGGGAAUAUUGGACAAUGGGCGAAAGCCUGAUCCAGCCAUGCCGCGUGUGUGAAGAAGGUCUUCGGAUUGUAAAGCACUUUAAGUUGGGAGGAAGGGUUGUAGAUUAAUACUCUGCAAUUUUGACGUUACCGACAGAAUAAGCACCGGCUAACUUCGUGCCAGCAGCCGCGGUAAUACGAAGGGUGCAAGCGUUAAUCGGAAUUACUGGGCGUAAAGCGCGCGUAGGUGGUUCAGCAAGUUGAAGGUGAAAUCCCCGGGCUCAACCUGGGAACUGCCUCCAAAACUACUGAGCUAGAGUACGGUAGAGGGUAGUGGAAUUUCCUGUGUAGCGGUGAAAUGCGUAGAUAUAGGAAGGAACACCAGUGGCGAAGGCGACUACCUGGACUGAUACUGACACUGAGGUGCGAAAGCGUGGGGAGCAAACAGGAUUAGAAACCCUGGUAGUCC
This 450-nucleotide ribosomal RNA is filed under the name uncultured bacterium. RNAcentral describes it as "partial 16S ribosomal RNA". It matches the Rfam family "Bacterial small subunit ribosomal RNA", at positions 354 to 796 of the family's 1533-position model. The record is from RNAcentral.